UACGUAGGGGGCGAGCGUUGUCCGGAUUUAUUGGGCGUAAAGAGCGUGUAGGCGGCCAGGUAGGUCUGCUGUGAAAACUCGAGGCUCAACCUCGAGACGUCGGCGGAAACCAUCUGGCUAGAGUCCGGAAGAGGAGAGUGGAAUUCCUGGUGUAGCGGUGAAAUGCGCAGAUAUCAGGAAGAACACCCGUAGCGAAGGCGGCACUCUGGGCCGGAACUGACGCUGAGGAGCGAAAGCGUGGGGAGCAAACAGG
RNAcentral lists this ribosomal RNA (253 nucleotides) under uncultured bacterium. RNAcentral's name for it is "partial 16S ribosomal RNA". It matches the Rfam family "Bacterial small subunit ribosomal RNA", at positions 524 to 776 of the family's 1533-position model. The record is from RNAcentral.